GUCGAAAUUAAGUAGACAAUUCGUAUAAUUACCCUAAUCGGUGGGAAAGUCUCUACGCUGGACCGUAAUUCAGCACUACGAAUAAAGAUCUAUAUUUU
RNAcentral lists this non-coding RNA (98 nucleotides) under Firmicutes bacterium CAG:449. Its description in RNAcentral is "Purine riboswitch aptamer". It matches the Rfam family "Purine riboswitch aptamer". From Rfam's summary of the family: Riboswitches are metabolite binding domains within certain messenger RNAs that serve as precision sensors for their corresponding targets. RNAcentral also lists the same sequence under 1 other name. The record is from Rfam by way of RNAcentral. Lineage: Bacteria; Bacillati; Bacillota.